CGACUUGCCUUUUUCUCAACCUCUUCUGUUGUUCUUCUCCCUUUGAUCCGUUCUAUUACCUUGUCUUUCUUGUUUUCACAUCUUUUCGCUACACCCCCUUUCUUGGUUUCCGGCUGUUUCCUCCCUACCCUGAGACGCCUCUUAGAGCUUUAUCAUCCCACGCUAGGAUCGCAGAUAAGACCACUGAGCCUCAAAGAAGUUAAAUAACUGGCCAAAUCAGUUGGCGGUGCUGAAAUCCAAACCUAGAAGGACCAGCUCCACGGUCUACCUUCAACUACUGCUUUUGCGUGUGAAAAAAAUGUGAGGCAAGAUAAAGCUACGCAAUAAGAGGUCUCAGAAGAAAAAAUACAUCAGCCAAGGUUUUUAAAGUAUCAGUAAAAGAAUUCAUUCAGAGAAAAACUUUUUCAUAUAGAACCAUAAAAUAUAAAAUCAGAAGGAAACUACAA
Long non-coding RNA from Sapajus apella (tufted capuchin), 446 nucleotides. RefSeq lists it as uncharacterized. Lineage: Eukaryota; Metazoa; Chordata; Mammalia; Primates; Cebidae. The transcript has 2 exons. The record is from RefSeq and is a predicted model, not a curated record.